AUACUUACCUGGCAGGGAAGAUACCAUGAUCACGAAGGUGGUUUUUCCCAGCGUGAGGCUCAUCGAUUGCACUCCGGAUGUGCUGACCCCUGAGAUAUUCCCAAAUGUGGAAAACUCGACUGCAUAAUUAGUUGUAGUGGGGGACUGCGUUCACGCUUUCCCCUG
Molecule: small nuclear RNA, 165 nt
Organism: Pan paniscus (pygmy chimpanzee)
Lineage: Eukaryota; Metazoa; Chordata; Mammalia; Primates; Hominidae
Gene: U1
Rfam family: U1 spliceosomal RNA
About the family: U1 is a small nuclear RNA (snRNA) component of the spliceosome (involved in pre-mRNA splicing). Its 5' end forms complementary base pairs with the 5' splice junction, thus defining the 5' donor site of an intron.
Source: Ensembl